RNAcentral lists this ribosomal RNA (379 nucleotides) under uncultured bacterium. Its description in RNAcentral is "bacterial SSU rRNA". It matches the Rfam family "Bacterial small subunit ribosomal RNA", at positions 45 to 411 of the family's 1533-position model. The record is from RNAcentral.
AGCCUAACACAUGCAAGUCGAACGGUAACAGGAAGCAGCUUGCUGCUUUGCUGACGAGUGGCGGACGGGUGAGUAAUGUCUGGGAAACUGCCUGAUGGAGUGGGGAUAACUACUGGAAACGGUAGCUAAUACCGCAUAACGUACGCAAGACCAAAGAGGGGGACCUUCGGGCCUACUUGCCAUCGGAUGUGCCCAGAUGGGAUUAGCUAGUAGGUAGGGGUAACGGCUCACCUAGGCGACGAUCCCUAGCUAGGUCUGAGAGGAUAGACCAGCCACACUGGAACUGAGACACGGUCCAGACUACCUACGGGAGUGCAGCAGUGGGGAAUAUUGCACAAUGGGCGCAAGCCUGAUGCAGCCAUGCCGCGUAGUAUGAAGA